This 65-nucleotide transfer RNA is filed under the name Eupolyphaga sp. NS-2016. RNAcentral's name for it is "tRNA-Ser". The record is from RNAcentral. Lineage: Eukaryota; Metazoa; Arthropoda; Insecta; Blattodea; Corydiidae.
AGUUAAAAUCGAAAACAAAUAUGUUUUGAAAGCAUAGAUAAGAGGUUAAAUUCCUCUAUUAACUU